Molecule: long non-coding RNA, 5378 nt
Filed under: Citrus x clementina
Lineage: Eukaryota; Viridiplantae; Streptophyta; Magnoliopsida; Sapindales; Rutaceae
Description: Citrus clementina (C. clementina) long non-coding RNA (CCLE_LNC005231)
Source: RNAcentral
AGAGGAUGCUGAUGUUUGUUCUGGCUUCGUUAUUGCACUCAUUUGAGUGGGAAUUGCCAGCUGGCACAAAGCUAAACUUAUCUGAAAAAUUUGGGAUUGUCAUUAAGAAAAAAGAGCCUUUGGUUGCUAUUCCAACACCAAGACUAUCCAAUUCAGAGCUCUACCAUUAAGACAAAAUGAUUGUGAUGAUUUUGUGAGUAUCGGAAGAUUUGUAUGUUAUUUCAAGUUCAAUCGUAAUAAAAUAUUUCAAUAAAAGUCCUCCGUUGCUAAUUUUUUUUUCAACGGCAUAAUCUGUCAUCAUGCUUGUGUUUGGAGCUACUUUGAAAUAAUUUUUGAAUUACAAUUUAUAAAUAUUUACAUUUUAAAAUUUUAUGAGAGUCUAAAUCUAUACACGUUCAAUAAAAAAUUUCCUAAAAGUUUUAGGAUUCAAAAUUCUAUUAAAGUAUAGAUGAAACUUUUAUACCUCCUAAUUUUUUGGUCUAUUCUACGAGUUUAAAGAGGAGAUAUUUCUAGAGCUAGUAAAAAGAGUUACCUGAUUGUUUUCGCGUUAUGUCAUUUUUUUAUUGUGUUAAAUUUAAUUUGACUCAAAUAUGACCCAUUUAAUAAUCGUGUCAAAAUAUUAAAACUUAAACUUGACACGGAAAAUAAUUGGGUGACCGGACAAACCCAUUUAAUAAUUAGGUAACUAUGUCACUUAAUACGACAUAACCCAAUAACUCGUUUAAUACAUAUUUAACAUAAUUUACAUUGUACAUUGUACAUUGUACACCAUUUUGUCAUAAAUUACACUAUUUUAUAUUUCUAAAUAAUAUUAUAUAUUGAUAUUGUAUAAAAAAAAAUCAAUAAUCUCAAAAUUUGUACACCUCCUAACUUUUAAAAAUAAAUAAAAAACUAAUUAAUUAAUGUUUAUUUUAUUCAUUAAUAUAUCAUAAUCCUACAUGUGUUUUAUUUGUUAUUUUUUUUAUUUAAAAAGAUAGGUAGGUGGAUGAAACUCAAAUAAAUUUUUAGCCUAUCUUGAUCUUUCAAGUUUCUUAUUUAGGUGGCCAGCUAAAGAAAAUUACUUAAAAACUACUCCAUCAAUUUAACAAAUUUUAUUUAUUUAUUUAAUGGAGGUGUAGAAAAUAAAAGUAUCUUCAAGCACAUUGCAAUAGUGAAAGCAAUGUACCGGUGUUGCAACAUAACUGAACCUUGAUAACCUAUCACAUAUUUUAAGUUUUAACAUUGGUAGUUCACGGAUCAGUUUCUACUUCCACGAACAAUUAUUGAAGGAAAUGAGUUUUUUUUUUUUAAUGAAUAUUUAUAGACCCCGAUUAAAUAUUCGAAUAUAUAAUAAAAGAGAAACUGACAUAGAAAUGAGAAAGAUAUUUGGAGGAGGCAAAAAAAAAAAAAAAUGCAACAGACAAUUAGAUCGGCAACACAAGUAACUAAUUAAUUCAUCUAUACAUCAUAAUCCUAUUUGUAUCUUCUUCCUUCUUCUAAUUUACAUAUAAAUUUGGUUAGAUAAAACAUAUUUUAAUACUCGGUCACAAUCGGUGGAUAUAGAAAAUUAAUUUAGAGGGGGUAAUACCAUAACGAAAAAUAAUGAUUCAUAAUUAAAAUCAACCCCAACAUCAAAACUUAUUUACAAGAUCACCCCCAGUCAAAGGUAAUUUUUCCUAAAAACUAAUACGAAAUUAAAUAAAUUUAACUUUUAGUGGGUUCAAUUGCCCACGCAUUCUGAACGUAGAUCCACCCCUGGCCCCGACUGAAGCAUUUUUUACAAUAUGUACUCUGUUUAUCAGCGGGAACAGCCUUCCACCUUAAAUUAAAAUUUUCACUUAAAAAUGAUUAAGGUUAAUGAGGUUAGUAACAAAAAUGAGUUUAAUUAGAGAAUAUUAUAAGAGAAAUUCUAUUUUUUGACUUUUAAUAAAUUAAGAUAUAUUAAAAUAUUAUUAGUUGGUGGUGGUUUCACGUCAAAUUAAGACGUGACACCUUACUUAUGAGGUGGAGACAAUCGGCUUAAACUAUUUUAAUGCAUUUGAAAUUUGCACUAAUGGCUAUCAUUCUUUGUCCAAAUUAAUACGAUAAUUAAUAACAUACAAAAGUCAAGAAAAUGAAAAUUUAUCCCAAUUAAAACACUUUCUGGCUGCAUUUGGCUGUUUCCAUUUGAAGUUAAAAACGACAACGUUUCUUUCGUUUUGUGGGCGAUUCGAUUGAGCAGGCGCCACUAGCUAGCUGGCUUCCAGUGCUAGUGUGUGACGAUAGAAGGCUAGUGAUUUCACUUUCACAUUUUUUUUUAUUAUUUUUUUUGGGGAAUCAAGAUAAAAGUCAAGAAAAUGAAAAUUGGGCUGUUUCCAUUUGAAGUUAAAAACAGCGUUUCUUUCGGGGCGUCAAUUUGAUAUUUGAAUGGACAGGCAAGUAAGAAAUACAUUUCCUUCAUAGAAAAUGACAACGAGGACAUCAAGCCACAUCAUUAUAGUUUGUAGCCCAUCUACAUUUAAACGAUUAAUAAACAAGCUUAGGUGUGCCACUGCUAUUAUUAAUUAUCCCCUGAUCAUUAUAGUUUCUGAAACAGUAAAACAAAACGAAAUUGAAUACAUCAACGAGACCGCAAUUAUCACUUGUUUAGUUGCGGUAUUUAACUUAAUUUUAAUCUAAUAUAUUUGUUAGUUAAACUUUUAAUAAUCAAAUAAUUUUGAUUUAAAAAUAAAAUUAUAGAAAUUAUUAAUUAUUAAAAAUUCACAAUUAAGGGAACGUUCAUCAAACACACAUAGCUAUUGUUUUCUCUAUAUAUUGCAGUGUGUACGAUAUUGAGGGUUGAAGCCCCAAGCAUGCUCUAAAAUCCAGAUAAUAAUUAGAUCCAUGCAAAAUAUUCAUCGUUGUAUCAGCUGAUCAGUUGGUGGUGAUGAAGGGUGUUAUUGGCGGAGCUCAAAGUUAUUAUGUGCAUGUUGGGUGGAUAUCUCUAUUGAAAAUAUCUCUGAUAUUUCACUCGACAAACUUGUUAAUAUAAAAAAAUCUAUGGUUUUGCCGUCUGCAUACUGUAGAAAAUUUUGUCUCUACGUUAAUCUAAAUGUUUGAGGUGAUUAGAAAUUGCCUACUAUAUAUAAAGGGAAAUAAUUUCUAGGUUGAUUGAUACAUCUCUAUUCAAAAUAUCUCUGACAUUUCACUCGACAAACUUAUUAAUAUAAAAAAUCUGUGGUUUUGCCGACUGAAUAAUGUAGAAAAAUUUGUCUAUGCAUUAAUCUAGAUGUUUGAGGUGAUUUAUACAUCUGUGGUAAAGAUUUAUAGGUUGACUUAUACGUCUGUGGUAUAGAUUUUAUGUAUGUCAUUACAAAAUGCUGGCCGUUAGAACCCUUUCUACAUCUAUUUAUAAGAUUAACGGGUGCCAGCUAUGCCAUUACAAAUUAUCCCCUCAUCAGAUAUUUCGUUAAAAUUCAUUCUGAAACACUAAAACUAAAUAAUCGAACAUGGCUUUGCGGGUCGAUGAUGCCAGCAGCAAUGAGACUGCAAUUAUCACUUGUUUAGUUUCUGUGCUUGCCGUGGUUUACUUCGCAUGGAAUGUGAAAAAAUCAAGGAAAGCAAAUGCUACACUGCCACCAGGACCUCGCGGCUUGCCUGUAUUCGGAUACCUCCCAUUUCUUGGAACUACUGACUUGCACAAGAAAUUCACGGAAUUAUCCGGAGUUUAUGGUCCGAUCUUCAAGCUUUGGCUUGGAAAUAAAUUAUGUGUAGUGGUGAGCUCACCUUCCCUAAUUAGACAAGUGGUUCGUGAUCAAGAUACAACAUUCGCGAACCGUGACCCACCGAAGGCUGCACUAGUGGUCUCCUAUGGUGGCAAUGAUAUUGCAUGGUCCAAUUACGGUCCCGAAUGGAGAAAGUUGCGCAAAUUUUUUGUGGGCAAGAUGAUGAAUAACGAAAGCCUUGAUGCUUGUUAUGCUCUAAGAAAACAAGAGGUUAAAAAUACUAUCAGGGAUUUGUAUAACAACGACAACAAAAUUGGCAAGCCCAUUGACAUUGGUGAAUUGUCGUUUUCAACAUUGGUAUGUGCUAUACAGAACAUGCUGUGGGGUGAAGCGCUUGAAUUAAAAGAGAAAGGGACCACUAAUCUUAGGGCUGGGCUAAAAUUUAAGCUGGCAGAACUCAUGGUGCUUGCGGGAACACCGAAUAUUUCGGAUGUCUUUCCAAUGCUUUCAUGGCUCGACAUACAAGGUAUAGAGAGGAGAGCAAAGAAGAUUUCACUCUGGCUUGAUAAUGUUAUAAAUUCUACUGUUGAACAGCAUAGAAACAAGGAGUUAACUGUUGAAGGUGAAGAAAGAGCGGGGAAAAAUUUUGAAGGAUCAAGGAACAAGAACUUCUUGCAGUUACUAUUGGAGCUUCAAGAAAAUGAUGACAGUGCUUCCUCAAUUAGCAUGAACCAAUUCAAGGCCGUACUCGCGGUAUGUUAAGCAACUAGCCACGAACAGUUAUACAAGCACAGUUGUAUAUUUGCAUGAGUGAUAUUUUCAACCUUUUUUUUUUAAUUAGAAUUUUAUUGUCACCUUUUGGACAGGAUAUAAUUACGUCUGGAACCGACACCACAACUACGAUGGUGGAAUGGACAAUGGCAGAGUUGAUGCAGCAUCCACAAGUAAUGAAGAAAGUUCAGGAAGAAUUAGCUCAAGUUGUGGGCAUGGACAGUUGUGUUGAAGAAUUUCACCUGUCUAGAUUAAUGUAUUUAGAUGCUGUGGUGAAGGAAACAUUUCGUCUGCAUCCUGCAGUGCCUUUAUUACUACCACGUAGGGCAAGCGAGAGUAGCAACAUCGGUGGCUAUAACAUUCCCAAAGAUACAACUAUUAUGUUGAAUGUUCGGGCAAUCCACAGGGACCCUAAACUUUGGGAUAAUCCCUUACAAUUUCGACCCGAGAGGUUUCUAGAUGACGGUAUCGCGAGUAAGUUCGAUUACUCAGGUAACAAUUUUCAGUACUUGCCAUUUGGUUCUGGUAGAAGAAUGUGUGCUGGGAUUGCUCUAGCUGAGAGGAUGCUGAUGUUUGUUCUGGCUUCCUUAUUGCACUCAUUCGAGUGGGAAUUGCCAACUGGCACAAAGCUAAACUUAUCAGAAAAAUUUGGGAUUGUCAUUAAGAAAAAAGAGCCAUUGGUUGCUAUUCCAACACCAAGACUAUCCAAUUCAGAGCUCUACCAUUAAGACAAUGGUUGUGAUGAUUUUGUUAAUUUCCGAAGAUUUGUAUGUUAUUUUAAGUUCAAUCGUAAUAAAAUAUUUCAAAUAAGAGUCCUCCGUUGCUUUUUUUUUUUUUUCAACGGCAUAAUCUGUCGUCAUGCUUGUAUUUGGAGCUACUUUGUAAUAAUUAUGUUUGAAUUACAAUUUAUAAAUAUUACAUUUUAAAAUUUUAUGAGAGUCUAAA